Molecule: long non-coding RNA, 278 nt
Organism: Sinocyclocheilus rhinocerous
Lineage: Eukaryota; Metazoa; Chordata; Actinopteri; Cypriniformes; Cyprinidae
Exons: 2
Source: RefSeq, a predicted model, not a curated record
UCAUCCACUGUAGUACUGCGGUGUGCCAUCCAUCUUCUGGCUCCUCUGAGCAAAGCUGCGGCAGGAAGAGAAGGGACACUCGUGUGAAGACUCUCGUGAGCAGACUGUGGUUUCUAGUGGAGGAGUUACUCUGAUCCUGUAAAUCUAGUGGUUUUAAUACGCUUUUUGAAGCGGCAAGAUGGCUUUGUCUGUUAUUGUAUUGAUCUUGCAGAGUCUGAAGUUACGUGCAUGUACCCAGUUUGUUUCUUGGUCUACACUAUUAAACUAACUUUCCAGUA